UAUAAAACAUAUUCUUUCUUGGAGUAUAUUUGAAUUCAGGUUGCUAAAAAACAAACAACAAAACAUAUUCUUGACAUUAACCAGAGAGCAUUUUUAAGUAGCGAAAAUUUGCCUAGUCUUGGAAGACAGUGAUAAAUUUAACCUAAAGGGUCUUAGUUAUCUUUCUGUUUAAAAGUUAAAGUAUAAGGACUCAAAUAUUAAAUCCUAAGAAUUACAUCCAAUAUCAAAUUCCCUACUGGAUGUCUCAUGGGAAAACCAAAACAAACAAACAAACAAACAAAAAAUAUCAAAUUCCUAUUAGAACCUGCCAAUGGUUACCUGACAAAUCUGAAUCACUCGCUCACGUGUCCACUUUAACUCGAGCCAGUGGCUGGCUCUGACUAGAAACUCAGACACCACAGCAGGUUGGCUCUCAUGACUUCCCUGUAUUCAUGUGCUCUGGUCUUGCCUGCAGGUGUUAAAUGACUACCAGAUCCCCAGCACCAUAUCAAGGAGAAGCUUCCUAGGAGAGCUACUGGUGAUGGAACAACAUUGGAAGAUGAAGUGUCACAACAGACUGGAAGGCUGUAUAGAAUUAUGCCACGCUGAGGAAAGGCUUCCAAAGGGUACAGAAAUGAGUCCUAUCAGGUUGAUAUUUGCAAGACACCGUCUAACCUAAGAGAGUCCUGAGGUGUCCUCCAACAGGAAGAUGUCCUGGACCCUGUGGAUAGAUGGUCAGGGGAUGCGAUGUGACUGCCAGGGUGGCCUGGCCACUCCCAACAGACCACAAAUGCUGACUUCAGAAUCUCUGGCACUUUCUAAAAUGUGGCUGAGCAGUAAUUUGGAAGCCUAAAUCCUGACUUCAGGAAUUCAUAAGAACAACCAAUGUUUUAUAAACUCAACAGAAAGUAAAAUAAACAAACCCAGGGUUUUACGCUCCCUCUUGUUAUUUUUAUGGCAAUCUUUCAAACUAGUUCAAAAUGUUCAAUCCUCUGCCCUCUCAAAACUACUGAGUUUGGGGAUGGGGGUGGGGGACAAACAACUAAAUAGUAACCAGCAUACACUGCAAUUCACCACAGGGAAGAGCUAAGGAGAUCUGGUAGUGAAAGAGUACAGGUGGCUUUCAGGCUGACAUUGAAGUCUCUCUCCUUCCCAACUUUCUCACUGAGAAGGGCCCAGCAAAGAAAACAAGAAUGUUUAUAUUUACCCAGAAG
Callithrix jacchus (white-tufted-ear marmoset) is the source of this 1193-nucleotide non-coding RNA. The record is from RefSeq and is a predicted model, not a curated record. Lineage: Eukaryota; Metazoa; Chordata; Mammalia; Primates; Cebidae.